CGCCAGACUCCUACGGGAGGCAGCAGUCGGGAAUAUUGCGCAAUGGAGGAAACUCUGACGCAGUGACGCCGCGUAUAGGAAGAAGGUUUUCGGAUUGUAAACUAUUGUCGUUAGGGAAGAAAAAAGACAGUACCUAAGGAGGAAGCUCCGGCUAACUACGUGCCAGCAGCCGCGGUAAUACGUAGGGAGCAAGCGUUAUCCGGAAUUAUUGGGUGUAAAGGGUGCGUAGACGGGAGUCUAAGUUAGUUGUGAAAUCCCUCGGCUCAACUGAGGAACUGCAACUAAAACUGGACAUCUUGAGUGCAGGAGAGGAAAGUGGAAUUCCUAGUGUAGCGGUGAAAUGCGUAGAUAUUAGGAGGAACACCAGUGGCGAAGGCGGCCUGCUGGACUGUGACUGACGUUGAGGCCCGAAGGCGUGGGGAGCAAACAGGAUUAGAUACCCUUGUAAA
This 449-nucleotide ribosomal RNA is filed under the name uncultured bacterium. Its description in RNAcentral is "bacterial SSU rRNA". It matches the Rfam family "Bacterial small subunit ribosomal RNA", at positions 329 to 794 of the family's 1533-position model. The record is from RNAcentral.